CUCGCCUACGGGAGGCAGCAGUGAGGAAUAUUGGUCAAUGGACGGAAGUCUGAACCAGACAUGCCGCGUGCAGGAAGACGGCUCUAAGAGUUGUAAACUGCUUUUGUACAAGGGUAAACCUGAAUACGUGUAUUCAGCUGAAAGUACUGUACGAAUAAGGAUCGGCUAACUCCGUGACAGCAGCCGCGGUAAUACGGAGGAUGCAAGCGUUAUCCGGAUUUAUUGGGUUUAAAUGGUGCGUAGGCG
Molecule: ribosomal RNA, 246 nt
Filed under: uncultured bacterium
Lineage: Bacteria
Description: partial 16S ribosomal RNA
Rfam family: Bacterial small subunit ribosomal RNA
Source: RNAcentral